GACGAACGCUGGCGGCGUGCUUAACACAUGCGAGUCGAACGGAAAGGCCCUGCUUUUGUGGGGUGCUCGAGUGGCGAACGGGUGAGUAACACGUGAGUAACCUGCCCUUGACUUUGGGAUAACUUCAGGAAACUGGGGCUAAUACCGGAUAGGAGCUCCUGCUGCAUGGUGGGGGUUGGAAAGUUUCGGCGGUUGGGGAUGGACUCGCGGCUUAUCAGCUUGUUGGUGGGGUAGUGGCUUACCAAGGCUUUGACGGGUAGCCGGCCUGAGAGGGUGACCGGCCACAUUGGGACUGAGAUACGGCCCAGACUCCUACGGGAGGCAGCAGUGGGGAAUAUUGCACAAUGGGCGGAAGCCUGAUGCAGCAACGCCGCGUGCGGGAUGACGGCCUUCGGGUUGUAAACCGCUUUCGCCUGUGACGAAGCGUGAGUGACGGUAAUGAGUAAAGAAGCACCGGCUAACUACGUG
RNAcentral lists this ribosomal RNA (468 nucleotides) under uncultured bacterium. Its description in RNAcentral is "partial 16S ribosomal RNA". It matches the Rfam family "Bacterial small subunit ribosomal RNA", at positions 28 to 507 of the family's 1533-position model. The record is from RNAcentral.